Molecule: small nuclear RNA, 107 nt
Filed under: Cebus imitator (Panamanian white-faced capuchin)
Lineage: Eukaryota; Metazoa; Chordata; Mammalia; Primates; Cebidae
Source: RNAcentral
GUGUUCACUUUGUCAGCACAUACGUUAAAAUUGAAACUAUUCAGAGAAGAUUAGCAUGGCCUCUGCCCAAGGAUGACAUGCAAAUUCAUGAAGCAUUCUGUAUUUUU